AGAUUGAACGCUGGCGGCAGGCCUAACGCAUGCAAGUCGAGCGGCAGCACGGGUACUUGUACCUGGUGGCGAGCGGCGGACGGGUGAGUAAUGCCUAGGAAUCUGCCUGGUAGUGGGGGAUAACGCUCGGAAACGGACGCUAAUACCGCAUACGUCCUACGGGAGAAAGCAGGGGACCUUCGGGCCUUGCGCUAUCAGAUGAGCCUAGGUCGAUUAGCUAGGUUGGUGGGGUAAUGGCUCACCAAGGCGACGAUCCGUAACUGGUCUGAGAGGAUGAUCAGUCACGACUGGAACUGAGACACGGUCCAGACUCCGUACGGGAGCAGCAGUGGGAAUAGUGACAAGUGGGACGAAAGCCUGACUCCGAGCCAUGCCGUCGUAGUGUAGAAGAGGUUCGUCGG
Molecule: ribosomal RNA, 401 nt
Filed under: uncultured soil bacterium
Lineage: Bacteria
Description: bacterial SSU rRNA
Rfam family: Bacterial small subunit ribosomal RNA
Source: RNAcentral